Molecule: non-coding RNA, 75 nt
Organism: Myotis lucifugus (little brown bat)
Lineage: Eukaryota; Metazoa; Chordata; Mammalia; Chiroptera; Vespertilionidae
Source: Rfam
UGCGGUUCUCAGGUGAUGCACCCCGGAAUUGGGCUCCCUCCUCUCUGGUUCUGGGUGCAUCACCCAAGAACUGCA